Molecule: ribosomal RNA, 468 nt
Filed under: uncultured bacterium
Lineage: Bacteria
Description: partial 16S ribosomal RNA
Rfam family: Bacterial small subunit ribosomal RNA
Source: RNAcentral
GACGAACGCUGGCGGCGUGCUUAACACAUGCAAGUCGAACGGAAAGGCCCUGCUUUUGUGGGGUGCUCGAGUGGCGAACGGGUGAGUAACACGUGAGUAACCUGCCCUUGACUUUGGGAUAACUUCAGGAAACUGGGUCUAAUACCGGAUAGGAGCUCCUGCUUCAUGGUGGGGGUUGGAAAGUUUCGGCGGUUGGGGAUGGACUCGCGGCUUAUCAGCUUGUUGGUGGGGUAGUGGCUUACCAAGGCUUUGACGGGUAGCCGGCCUGAGAGGGGAACCGGCCACAUUAGGACUGAGAUACGGCCCAGACUAGUACGGGAGGCAACAGUGGGGAAUAUUGCACAGUGGGCGGAAGCCUGAUGCAGCAAAGCCGCGUGCGGGAUGACGGGCUUCGGGUUGUAAACCGAUUUCGCCUGUGACGAAGAGUGAGUGACGGUAAUGGGUAAAGAAGCACCGGCUAACUACGUG